GUGUGAUUAAGCUACAAAGGGUACACGGGGGAUGCCUUGGCGUCAAGAGCCGAAGAAGGACGUGGUUGACUGCGAAAAGCUCCGGGGAACCGUCAGCAGGUGUAAUAUCCGGAGAUGUCCGAAUGGGGAAACCCAGUUGAGCUAAUCCUCAACUAUCCCUGGUUGAAUAAAAUAGGCCAGAGGAAGGGAACCGGGUGAACUGAAACAUCUAAGUAGCCCGAGGAAAAGAGAAUAUUCUGCUAGUAGUGGCGAGCGAACGCGGAAAAGCCCAAACUGCUGGACUUGUCCAGCGGGGUUGUAGGACCUGGCAAAAGUCAUAAGAUUGUUAGCGGAAUUGUACUGGAAAGAUAGACCGUAGAGGGUGACAGUCCCGUACGCGAAAACGAACUUAUGAGGGCCGGGGAUCCUGAGUACCACGGGGCACGCUAAUCCUGUGGGAAACCGGGAGGCCCACCUCCCAAGGCUAAAUACUCUUGAUGACCGAUAGUGAACAAGUACCGUGAGGGAAAGGUGAAAAGAACCGCGGUGAGCGGAGUGAAAUAGAAUCUGAAACCGUGUACCUACAAUCAGUCGGAGCCCUAUGUCUGUUUGAAAGCAGAAAGGGGUGACGGCGUGCCUUUUGGAGAAUGAGCCGACGAGUUACUUUCUGUGGCAAGGUUAAGCUAGAAACAGGCGGAGCCGUAGCGAAAGCGAGUCUGAAUAGGGCGGAUAGUCGCAGGGAGUAGACACGAAACCGGGUGAGCUAACCAUGGUCAGGUUGAAGCGAGAGUAAUGUCUCGUGGAGGACCGAACGGGUAUACGUUGUAAAGUGUUCCGAUGAACUGUGGUUAGGGGUGAAAUGCCAAACGAACUCGGAGAUAGCUUGUUCUCCCCGAAAUAGCUUUAGGGCUAGCCUCGUGCGUUCAAUCUCGGAGGUAGAGCACUGGAUUGGCUAGGGGGUCUAUGACUUACCAAACCAAACCAAACUCCGAAUGCCGAGAUUUUAGAGCACGGGAGUCGGACGGCGAAUGAUGAGAUCCGUCGUCGAGAGGGAAAGAGCCCAGAUCGUCAGCUAAGGUCCCCAAGUGAUGACUAAGUGGGAAAGGAUGUGAGACUACUGAGACAUCCAGGAGGUUGGCUUAGAAGCAGCCACCCUUUAAAGAGUGCGUAAUAGCUCACUGGCCUAGUGGUCUUGCGCCGAAAAUAUAACGGGGCUAAAGUCAUCCACCGAAGCUACGAAUUCCGCUUAGGCGGAGUGGUAGGGGAGCGUUCUGUAGGAGAAAAGAAAACAGUGCUGACCGAGAGGACAGCUUGCGGCCUACAGAAGUGCGAAUGUCGGCAUGAGUAGCGAAAAACAUGUGAGAACCAUGUUCGCCGUAUGUCUAAGGUUUCCGACGGAAGGUUAAUCCGCGUCGGGUUAGUCGGGCCUAAGCCGAGGCUGAGAAGCGUAGGCGAUGGACAACAGGUUAAUAUUCCUGUACCGCCGCAUGGAGCGAUGGGGGGACGCAGGAGGGUAAACCAGCCGGGUGAUGGACGUCCCGGUGCUGAACCGGUAGGGUGUUGAGCCGAACAGGUAAAUCCGUUCGGGGAGCUUGAGCGGUUGUAAGCGGGCCGUAAGGCCAGAAGUGGUUAAGCCCCCACUGACAAGAAAAGCCUCUAAGCGAUGAAGUGUGGCGACCGUACCGCAAACCGACACAGGUAGACGGGUAGAAAAUACCGAGGCGAUCGGGGAAACUCUCGUUAAGGAACUAGGCAAAAUAGAUCCGUAACUUCGGGAGAAGGAUCGCCCUGGCCGGUGAAGUUUAUACAAAUGGAGCUGGUUGGGGUCGCAGAGAAAUGGCUCUAUCGACUGUUUAACAAAAACACAGGUCUGUGCCAACGCGUAAGCGGACGUAUACGGGCUGACGCCUGCCCAGUGCCGGAAGGUUAAGAGGAGGGGUGCAAGCUCCGAAUUGAAGCCCCGGUGAACGGCGGCCGUAACUAUAACGGUCCUAAGGUAGCGAAAUUCCUUGUCGGGUAAGUUCCGACCCGCACGAAAGGCGUAACGAGUGGAGCACUGUCUCAACGAGAGACCCGGUGAAAUUGAACUAUGCGUGAAGAUGCGCAUUACCCGCAGCAGGACAAAAAGACCCCGUGGAGCUUUACUGUAGCUUGAUAUUGAGUUAGGGCUUGACUUGUGUAGGAUAGCUGGGAGGCUUGGAAGCUGGUCCGCCAGGAUCGGUGGAGCCGCCGUUGAAAUACCAGCCUGGUUAAGUCUUGGCCCUAACGGUUAGCCGUGAACCGGCAACCAGACAGUGUCAGGUAGGCAGUUUGACUGGGGCGGUCGCCUCCUAAAGAGUACCGGAGGCGCCCAAAGGUUCCCUCAGGCUGAAUGGAAACCAGCCGCAGAGUGCAAAGGCAUAAGGGAGCUUGACUGCGAGACCAACAAGUCGAGCAGAGACGAAAGUCGGGCUUAGUGAUCCCACGGUUCCGAGUGGAAGGGCCGUGGCUUACCGGAUAAAAGCUACCCCGGGGAUAACAGGCUGGUCUCGCCCAAGAGUUCACAUCGACGGCGAGGCUCGGCACCUCGAUGUCGGCUCGUCGCAUCCUGGGGCUGGAGUAGGUCCCAAGGGUCGGGCUGUUCGCCCGUUAAAGCGGUACGCGAGCUGGGUUCAGACCGUCGUGAGACAGGUCGGUCUCUAUCCGCUGUGGGCGUAGGUAAAUUGCGAGGGGCUGCCCCUAGUACGAGAGGACCGGGGUGGACCGACCGCUGGUGUGCCAGUUGUUCCGCCAGGAGCAGUGCUGGGUAGCUACGUCGGGAAGAGAUAACCGCUGAAAGCAUCUAAGUGGGAAACUUGCCUCAAGAUGAAUUUACCAUCCGGUUAAUCCGGGAGAGGCCGCUGGUAGACGACCAGUUGAUAGGUGGCGUGUGGAAGGGCAGUAAUGUCUGGAGCUAAGCCAUACUAAUGGCCGAAGGCUUAAUCUU
This 2944-nucleotide ribosomal RNA is filed under the name Anaerolineales bacterium. RNAcentral's name for it is "23S ribosomal RNA". It matches the Rfam family "Bacterial large subunit ribosomal RNA". The record is from RNAcentral. Lineage: Bacteria; Bacillati; Chloroflexota; Anaerolineae; Anaerolineales.